UGGGGGAUAUUGCACAAUGGGCGCAAGCCUGAUGCAGCGACGCCGCGUGGGGGAUGAAGGCCUUCGGGUUGUAAACUUCUUUUGCUCUGAACAAGGCGCACUUUGGGGUGUGUUGAGUGUAGGGGUUGAUUAGCGCCGGCUAACUACGUGCCAGCAGCCGCGGUAAUACGUAGGGCGCGAGCGUUGUCCGGAAUUAUUGGGCGUAAAGGGCUUGUAGGUGGCUGGUUGCGUCUGUCGUGAAAGCUCAUGGCUUAACUGUGGGUUUGCGGUGGGUACGGGCUGGCUUGAGUGCAGUAGGGGAGGCUGGAAUUCCUGGUGUAGCGGUGGAAUGCGCAGAUAUCAGGAGGAAUACCGGUGGCGAAGGCGGGUCUCCGGGCUGUUACUGACACUGAGGAGCGAAAGCAUGGGGAGCGAACAGG
Molecule: ribosomal RNA, 419 nt
Filed under: bacterium
Lineage: Bacteria
Description: partial 16S ribosomal RNA
Rfam family: Bacterial small subunit ribosomal RNA
Source: RNAcentral